Long non-coding RNA from Triticum dicoccoides, 170 nucleotides. RefSeq lists it as uncharacterized. The transcript has 3 exons. The record is from RefSeq and is a predicted model, not a curated record. Lineage: Eukaryota; Viridiplantae; Streptophyta; Magnoliopsida; Poales; Poaceae.
GUGAUCUUCCGAUCACAAGGAACAAGAUGAUCAAGAGCUGCAAUUCCCAAGUGAUCAAGUUGAAGACUCAUCAUCUACUACUCCUGAAGAAGUACAAGAAGCUGCUGUAGAUGAAGAUGAAGAACAUGAGAUUCAUUUGCCUAUUGUCAUACCAGAGCGUGAUGUGUCGG